This 176-nucleotide non-coding RNA is filed under the name uncultured Sporolactobacillus sp. RNAcentral's name for it is "6S / SsrS RNA". It matches the Rfam family "6S / SsrS RNA". From Rfam's summary of the family: E. coli 6S RNA was the first non coding RNA to be sequenced, but its function was unknown until recently. The record is from RNAcentral. Lineage: Bacteria; Bacillati; Bacillota; Bacilli; Caryophanales; Sporolactobacillaceae.
GUCCUGAGGUGUUAGUCGAAAGCUGGUAUGUUUGACCGAACACUUAUGGAAAUGGGAGUCCGUUGUUUUCACUCGUCGCGUAUGCCCGCAUCGGGAUUCGCAAACUGUGAAACAGGGCACCCACCUGCUUGCGAGCGGGUUUCAAAAUUUCGGCUUCACAACGGCACGUUCGGGAC